CAGCAGGUAUUUUAAAAUAAAAUAUUAAUUUUGGAGAUUAAUGAAAAAGUUUAUUCUUUUCUGCUGA
Molecule: transfer RNA, 67 nt
Filed under: Corythucha ciliata (sycamore lace bug)
Lineage: Eukaryota; Metazoa; Arthropoda; Insecta; Hemiptera; Tingidae
Description: tRNA-Pro
Source: RNAcentral